GAUUCUCCUCAAAUCAAUAUAGGCAGAAAGAUUUGCUUGUCUUCAAGUUACUACUAUCUCAAAGAUUGUCACUCUUUCCAAAGAUGUGCAAAAUUGUGUGGGUGGUGCUUGAUUGUUAGCAGUGAUCAGGGCAACAAUCUACAUCUCGACUUCUUUUUACCUCAAUCAAUUUCUCAAUUCCAUGGGAACCCUUUUUUGUUUGUU
This 204-nucleotide long non-coding RNA is filed under the name Phoenix dactylifera (date palm). RNAcentral's name for it is "long non-coding RNA (PDAC_LNC016247)". The record is from RNAcentral. Lineage: Eukaryota; Viridiplantae; Streptophyta; Magnoliopsida; Arecales; Arecaceae.